Drosophila subobscura is the source of this 247-nucleotide long non-coding RNA. RefSeq lists it as uncharacterized. The record is from RefSeq and is a predicted model, not a curated record. The transcript has 2 exons. Lineage: Eukaryota; Metazoa; Arthropoda; Insecta; Diptera; Drosophilidae.
ACGAAGCAAAAAUAAUUCACAGCUUGCACAACAUGGACAUUUCUCUACUGUCUGCUCUGACACUGAUGCUGGCUGUCUGGGCCGUGGCUGUGGCUGGGGAUUGUGUGACAGAUCCCGUGACAAUGCUGUGCAUUUUGGAUCCCAAUCAGGGCUAAUCACCAUAUGCGGAUUCGAAUAUGUGUCUCCAACCAGAGUGGAUUCUCCCUUGAAUAAAGUGAAAACGUGGAACUAAACUUUUUGACACAGA